GCAUCGAUGAAGAACGCAGCGAAAUGCGAUAAGUAAUGUGAAUUGCAGAAUUCAGUGAAUCAUCGAAUCUUUGAACGCUCAUUGCGCCCCUUGGUAUUCCGAGGGGCAUGCCUGUUCGAGCGUCAUUAUAACCACUCAAGCCUCGGCUUGGUCUUGGGGUUCGCGGUCUCGCGGCCCUUAAAAUCAGUGGCGGUGCCGUCUGGCUCUAAGCGUAGUAAUUUUCUCGCUAUAGGGUCCAGGCGACCACCUGCCAUAACCCCCCAUUCUUUACGGUUGACCUCGGAUCAGGUAGGGAUACCCGCUGAACUUAAGCAUAUCAAUAAGCGGAGGA
Molecule: ribosomal RNA, 331 nt
Filed under: uncultured Helotiales
Lineage: Eukaryota; Fungi; Ascomycota; Leotiomycetes; Helotiales
Description: eukaryotic LSU rRNA
Rfam family: 5.8S ribosomal RNA (bases 1-125)
Source: RNAcentral